AUACGGAGGGGGCAAGCGUUGUUCGGAAUUACUGGGCGUAAAGGGUGUGUAGGCGGCCAGAUAAGCUAGAGGUGAAAUCCCGGGGCUCAACCCCGGAACUGCUUCUAGAACUGUUUGGCUAGAGAUAGGCAGAGGCAGGUGGAAUUCCAGGUGUAGAGGUGAAAUUCGUAGAUAUCUGGAGGAACACCGGUGGCGAAGGCGGCCUGCUGGGCCUUAUCUGACGCUAAGGCACGAAAGCGUGGGGAGCAAACAGGAUUAGAAACCCUAGUAGUCC
RNAcentral lists this ribosomal RNA (274 nucleotides) under uncultured bacterium. RNAcentral's name for it is "partial 16S ribosomal RNA". It matches the Rfam family "Bacterial small subunit ribosomal RNA", at positions 523 to 796 of the family's 1533-position model. The record is from RNAcentral.